This is a long non-coding RNA of Salvia miltiorrhiza (redroot sage), 1076 nucleotides long. RefSeq lists it as uncharacterized. The record is from RefSeq and is a predicted model, not a curated record. Lineage: Eukaryota; Viridiplantae; Streptophyta; Magnoliopsida; Lamiales; Lamiaceae. The transcript is spliced from 2 exons.
AUGACAACAUAGAUUUUUAUCUUUUUUUUUGAUAAAUUUACAAUAUUAAAUAAAAUAAAGUCAUAGGGGACUCGAACCCAAGACCUUUGGCUUUAAGCAUUAACCUCUUACCGCUUGGCCAACACACGCACACAGCAACAUAGAUUUAUUAUUGCAAAUAUUUAGGGCUGGUAAACCGGUGCCGGUUUUUCGGUUAAAAUCGUAACCGAACCGGAAAAACCGGUUAUCGGUUAACCGAAAAUCGGUUUUUUCCGGUCCGGUUCGGUUAUCGAUUAGUAUUUCAGCUGUAAACCGGUUAAUCGGUUUAACCGGUCGGUUAACCGAUUAAACCGAUUAACCGAUUUUUUUAUUAAAUUAAUUAAUUAAUAGUAUAUUAUAUUAAAAUUUAAAAAACCCCACAAAUAGUUAGGGUUUGAGACUUUGAAAUUGAGUCUGUCUCACUUCCGCCUCCCCUUGCUUGCUUCCCGUUCCCACCGGCGCCUCCCUUGCCUCCCACCGGCACCGGCGCCGCUACCUCCCCCCGGUGCUCAGCCAGUCAGCCUGCACUCCGCCGAGUCGCCGACGCUCUCCCAGUCCCAAGUCCGCCGCUGGCCCGCUGCAUUUGCCAUCACCGACCGCCGCCCGCCACCCCAGCUGUCGUCACCUCGUUCACCACACUCCGCCGGCGCCACUCCCUCCGCCUUGUUCUUCUUCUUCUCGGCUAUAACUCAUUCUGCCGGCGUCGCUCCCUCCGCCAGCGAGCAGCGUCGCCCCCUCUGCCGGCGUCGCUGCUGUGCAUUCAGAUGGAUGCUUCUUUGAGAUUUGAAUAUGUCAAAAGUCCUUCAAUUCAAUUCAGCAUGCUCAUGACCUGCACCAUUCAAGUAAAUAUUCAUGUAUGACAAGGUUGAUAUGCUACCAAGUAAUCUCAAUGAUAUGACAAUAUUGGUUUCACAAAUAGUUCAUACAACUCAUGUAAUCAUGCAAGUUCACUAGCAAAAGAUUGAAUGAAAACAUUAGUUUACAAGUAAGGUGCAGGUCGAACCAUUUUGAGUCGGCAUACCUACUCAUUCUUUCUUUUGAAAUCUAUUUAUUUGCUA